RNAcentral lists this ribosomal RNA (513 nucleotides) under Psychrobacter sp. AP2H5. Its description in RNAcentral is "bacterial SSU rRNA". It matches the Rfam family "Bacterial small subunit ribosomal RNA", at positions 355 to 860 of the family's 1533-position model. Lineage: Bacteria; Pseudomonadati; Pseudomonadota; Gammaproteobacteria; Moraxellales; Moraxellaceae. The record is from RNAcentral.
UGGGGAAUAUUGGACAAUGGGGGAAACCCUGAUCCAGCCAUGCCGCGUGUGUGAAGAAGGCCUUUUGGUUGUAAAGCACUUUAAGCAGUGAAGAAGACUCUUCGGUUAAUACCCGGAGACGAUGACAUUAGCUGCAGAAUAAGCACCGGCUAACUCUGUGCCAGCAGCCGCGGUAAUACAGAGGGUGCAAGCGUUAAUCGGAAUUACUGGGCGUAAAGGGAGCGUAGGUGGCUCGAUAAGUCAGAUGUGAAAUCCCCGGGCUCAACCUGGGAACUGCAUCUGAUACUGUUGAGCUAGAGUAUGUGAGAGGAAGGUAGAAUUCCAGGUGUAGCGGUGAAAUGCGUAGAGAUCUGGAGGAAUACCGAUGGCGAAGGCAGCCUUCUGGCAUAAUACUGACACUGAGGCUCGAAAGCGUGGGUAGCAAACAGGAUUAGAUACCCUGGUAGUCCACGCCGUAAACGAUGUCUACUAGUCGUUGGGUCCCUUGAGGACUUAGUGACGCAGCUAACGCAA